GUAUCCCUUCACAAACAACCAAGCUAUACCUCCAAUGGACUGGGAGCAAUAUCUUUCAGAAAUUGCAUCAGACAUAAUGAAAGAGCAGAGCCCUAAAAGGUUGUUUGAGGUUAGGGGAAAGUUAUAUGAGCUACUAAAAAAUUGUAUUCCACCUGAAAUUAUUUUGAAGAGGCUGCUUUUCGAACUAUUGAAGAAAUUGGAUUCAGAGUUGAAGCAUGAGGUGUCCCACUGGGCUGCUUAUUACGUAAGUUGUUGAGCUACAUAAUGUAGCA
Molecule: long non-coding RNA, 272 nt
Organism: Nicotiana attenuata
Lineage: Eukaryota; Viridiplantae; Streptophyta; Magnoliopsida; Solanales; Solanaceae
Exons: 3
Source: RefSeq, a predicted model, not a curated record